GUUAGAUUGUUGGAGAAGGGCCUUCUUUACCUCUUGUCUCAGUUAUAUUCCAUAUAUAAAUUACUUGUCAGAGAUCCCCAUUCUAUAAUUGUAAAGCACGGUGUAAUAUGUUGGCUCUAUACAAAUAAUAAUAAUACAGAGAACUUGCAGUCAGCCACAAAAUACAGAUUAAGGAAGAGCUCAUCCCCCUCUUGGCUGCCUGCCUGUAUGUCAAGAUAUA
Non-coding RNA from Pelobates cultripes (western spadefoot toad), 220 nucleotides. NCBI's taxonomy places the organism in Eukaryota, Metazoa, Chordata, Amphibia, Anura, Pelobatidae. The record is from the annotation of a GenBank genome assembly.